UGGCUGCAGUCGAGGAUCUUCGGCAAUGGGGGAAACCCUGACCGAGCGACGCCGCGUGCGGGAUGAAGGCCUUCGGGUUGUAAACCGCUGUCGUAGAGGAGGAAGUGCAGGGGGGUUCUCCCCUCUGUUUGACCUAUUCUAGGAGGAAGUACGGGCUAAGUUCGUGCCAGCAGCCGCGGUAAGACGAACCGUACAAACGUUACUCGGAAUUACUGGGCUUAAAGGGUGCGUAGGCUGCGCGAAAAGUUGGGUGUGAAAGCCCUCGGCUCAACCGAGGAAUUGCACUCAAAACUACCGUGCUCGAGGGAGACAGAGGUAAGCGGAACUCAAGGUGGAGCGGUGAAAUGCGUUGAUAUCUUGAGGAACACCGGUGGCGAAGGCGGCUUACUGGGUCUCUACUGACGCUGAGGCACGAAAGCUAAGGUAGCAAACGGGAUUAGAUACCCCGGUAGUCUUAGCUGUAAACGAUGAGCACUUGUUUGAAGGGUCCUCCAUAGCCUUUCAGACGUAGCGAAAGUGUUAAGUGCUCCGCCUGGGGAGUAUGGUCGCAAGGCUGAAACUCAAAGAAAUUGACGGGGGCUCACACAA
This 588-nucleotide ribosomal RNA is filed under the name uncultured Planctomycetota bacterium. Its description in RNAcentral is "bacterial SSU rRNA". It matches the Rfam family "Bacterial small subunit ribosomal RNA", at positions 346 to 928 of the family's 1533-position model. Lineage: Bacteria; Pseudomonadati; Planctomycetota. The record is from RNAcentral.